This is a long non-coding RNA of Nothoprocta perdicaria, 470 nucleotides long. RefSeq lists it as uncharacterized. The record is from RefSeq and is a predicted model, not a curated record. Lineage: Eukaryota; Metazoa; Chordata; Aves; Tinamiformes; Tinamidae. The transcript is spliced from 3 exons.
UAUCAGCUUUGUAUCAUCUAUCUAGCUACUAUACUCUUUCCCUUAUUAGGGACAGAAGCAAUGAAUUGGUUGGUCCUUCCUAGCUUCCCUUAUUUCAGUUGGAACAGAUUUGACCAUGCUAAAGGAGUCACCUACUCCAGGAUCACGGCAAUGAGAUCACAGGCUUUUUUUGAAGGACGUUGACUAUAACUGAACGCAGAACUCCAGCUGAGAGCCUCGCAGUGUGAACAGAGCAGAUGGAAAUCCUCGUGUGCCUUCCAACCUGCACUGCUGCUUACACAGCCCCGUGUUGUGGCUCCUCUUUUGCUAGAGCCUGACUUCACRGACUCCUGCUCCUUGCUACUACAACUGCAGGCUCUUUUCUGAGAAGCUGACAGCUCCUCAGUAAAAACAUCAAGCAGAAAUGGAAACUGAACAGAUUCCUGUGGAAUCCCUCCCAAAGAUGCCUGCAUUGAAAUAAAGAACUACUG